GAGAUUAAAUACAAUAACGGUAUUGUAGCUUGAGACAAAAAAAAUGACUAAACGCACCGACUGAUGUUGAGCUUGGGUGAAACUAAGUGGAGGACCGAACCGACUGAUGUUGAAGAAUCAGUGGAUGAGUUGUGGUUAGGGGUGAAAUGCCACUCGAACCUAGAGCUAGACGGUUCUCCCCAAAAUGUGUUGAGGCGCAGCAGUUGACUAGACAUCUAGGGGUAAAGCACUAUUUCGGUGCAGGCCGCGAGAGCGGUACCAAAUCAAGGCAAACUCUAAAUUCUAGAUAUGACCUCAAAAUAACAGGGGUCGAGUUCGACCAGUGAGACGACGGGGGAUAAGCUUCAUCGUCGAGAGGGAAACAGCUCGGAUCACCAGCUAAGUCCCCUAAAUGACCGCUCAAUGAUAAAGGAGGUAGGGGUACAGAGACAAUCAGGAGGUUUGCCUAGAAGUAGCCACCCUUGAAAGAAUGCAUAAUAGCUCACUGAUCGAGCACUCUUGCGCCAAAGAUGAACAAGGUUAAGCGAUUUGUCGAAGUUGUGGGAUGUAAAAAUGCAUCGGUAGGGAAGCGUUCUGCCUUAGGGGGAAGCACCCGCGUGAGCGAAAGUAGACGAAGCGGAAGCGAGAAU
Molecule: ribosomal RNA, 629 nt
Organism: Gossypium raimondii (Peruvian cotton)
Lineage: Eukaryota; Viridiplantae; Streptophyta; Magnoliopsida; Malvales; Malvaceae
Rfam family: Bacterial large subunit ribosomal RNA
Source: Rfam